This 71-nucleotide transfer RNA is filed under the name Loxodonta africana (African savanna elephant). It matches the Rfam family "tRNA". Rfam says of the family: Transfer RNA (tRNA) molecules are approximately 80 nucleotides in length. Their secondary structure includes four short double-helical elements and three loops (D, anti-codon, and T loops). Lineage: Eukaryota; Metazoa; Chordata; Mammalia; Proboscidea; Elephantidae. The record is from Rfam by way of RNAcentral.
GCAGCGGUGGUUCAAUUGUAGAAUUCUCACCUUCCACGUGGGAGACCCGGGUUCAAUUCCCAGCCAAUACA